RNAcentral lists this ribosomal RNA (274 nucleotides) under uncultured bacterium. Its description in RNAcentral is "partial 16S ribosomal RNA". It matches the Rfam family "Bacterial small subunit ribosomal RNA", at positions 523 to 796 of the family's 1533-position model. The record is from RNAcentral.
AUACGGAGGGUGCGAGCGUUACUCGGAAUCACUGGGCGUAAAGCACGCGCAGGCGGCUUGAUAAGUUGGAUGUGAAAGCCUACGGCUCAACCGUAGAACUGCAUCCAAAACUGUCAAGCUAGAGGCUGGGAGGGGAAGAUGGAAUUAGUUGUGUAGGGGUAAAAUCCGUAGAGAUAACUAGGAAUACCAAAAGCGAAGGCGAUCUUCUGGAACAGUACUGACGCUGAGGCGCGAAAGCGUGGGGAGCAAACAGGAUUAGAAACCCCAGUAGUCC